This is a small nuclear RNA of Ornithorhynchus anatinus (platypus), 102 nucleotides long. NCBI's taxonomy places the organism in Eukaryota, Metazoa, Chordata, Mammalia, Monotremata, Ornithorhynchidae. The record is from RefSeq and is a predicted model, not a curated record.
GUACUCCCUUAGACAGGACCAAUACUCACAUUGGAACGAUACAGAGAAGAUUAGCAUGGCCUUUGUUCAAGGAUGACCUGCAGAUAUGUGUUUAUUGUUUAU